Molecule: ribosomal RNA, 633 nt
Filed under: uncultured fungus
Lineage: Eukaryota; Fungi
Description: bacterial SSU rRNA
Rfam family: Eukaryotic small subunit ribosomal RNA
Source: RNAcentral
GAUUCAUAAUAACUUCUCGAAUCGCAUGGCCUUGUUGCGGGCGAUGCUUCAUUCAAAUAUCUGCCUAUCAACUUUCGACGGUAGGGAUAGAGGCCUACCAUGGUUUCAACGGGUAACGGGGAAUAAGGGUUCGAUUCCGGAGAGGGAGCCUGAGAAACGGUUACCACAUCCAAGGAAGGCAGCAGGCGCGCAAAAUUACCCAAUCCCGACACGGGGAGGUAGUGACAAUAAAUAACAAUAUAGGGCUCUUUUGGGUCUUAUAAUUGGAAUGAGUACAAUUUAAAUCCCUUAACGAGGAACAAUUGGAGGGCAAGUCUGGUGCCAGCAAGCCGGGUAAUUCCAGCUCCAAUAGCGUAUAUCAAAGUUGUUGCAGUUAAAAAGCUCGUAGUUGAACUUCGAACGUGGCUGGGCGGUCCGCCUCACGGUGUGUACUGUCUGGCCGUGUCUCUUUCUUGGUGAGCCAGCAUGCCCUUUCACUGGGUGUGUGGGGAACCAAGGACCGGUUUACCUUGAGAAAAAUUAGAGUGUCACAGGCAGGCAAAUGCCCGAAUACAUUAGCAUGGAUAAUGGAAUAGGACGUGCGGUCUAUCGGGUUCUAGAGUCGCCGUAAUGAUUAAUAGGGACAAGUUGGGG